Molecule: ribosomal RNA, 496 nt
Filed under: uncultured bacterium
Lineage: Bacteria
Description: partial 16S ribosomal RNA
Rfam family: Bacterial small subunit ribosomal RNA
Source: RNAcentral
GAUGAACGCUGGCGGCGUGCCUAAUACAUGCAAGUCGAGCGAACGGACGAGAAGCUUGCUUCUCUGAUGUUAGCGGCGGACGGGUGAGUAACACGUGGAUAACCUACCUAUAAGACUGGGAUAACUUCGGGAAACCGGAGCUAAUACCGGAUAAUAUUUUGAACCGCAUGGUUCAAAAGUGAAAGACGGUCUUGCUGUCACUUAUAGAUGGAUCCGCGCUGCAUUAGCUAGUUGGUAAGGUAACGGCUUACCAAGGCAACGAUGCAUAGCCGACCUGAGAGGGGGACGGGCACAAUGGGAAUGGGGACAGGUCCCAGCACCCAAGGGAGGGAGAAGUUAGGGAUUUUUCCGAAGGGGGGGAAACCCUGAAGGGGAAACGCCGGGUGAGGGAGAAGGGGCUUCGGAUUGUAAAACUCUUUUAUUGGGGAAAAACAUUUGUGGAAGAAACUGUGCCAAUUUUAACGGUACCAAAUCAGAAAGCCACGGCAAACUAGGG